Molecule: ribosomal RNA, 497 nt
Filed under: uncultured bacterium
Lineage: Bacteria
Description: partial 16S ribosomal RNA
Rfam family: Bacterial small subunit ribosomal RNA
Source: RNAcentral
GAUGAACGCUGGCGGCGUGCCUAAUACAUGCAAGUCGAGCGAACAGACGAGGAGCUUGCUCCUCGGACGUGAGCGGCGGACGGGAGAGUAACAUGUGGAUAACCUACCUAUAUGACUGGGAUAACUUCGGGAAACGGGAGCUAAUACCGGAUAAUAUAUUGAACCGCAUGGUGCAAUGGUGAAUGACGGUUUUUGGGUAAGUAAUAGAGGGAUACGCGCCGCAUUAGGUGGUCGGGAAGGUAACGGGUUACGAAGGGAAGUAUGCGUAGCCGACUUGAGAGAGGGAUAGGCCACACGGGAACGUGGACACGGUCCAGACUACUACGGGAGGCAGCAGUAGGGAAUCUUACGCAAUAGUCGAGAGCCUGACGCAACAACGCCGCGUGAGUGAUGAAGGUCUUCGGAUCGUAAAACUCUGUUAUUAGUGAAGAACAAAUGUGUAAGUAACUAAGCACUUCUUGACGGUACCUAAUCAGAAAGCCACGGCUAACUACGUG